This 536-nucleotide ribosomal RNA is filed under the name uncultured bacterium. RNAcentral describes it as "bacterial SSU rRNA". It matches the Rfam family "Bacterial small subunit ribosomal RNA", at positions 336 to 865 of the family's 1533-position model. The record is from RNAcentral.
CUCCUACGGGAGGCAGCAGUGGGGAAUUUUGGACAAUGGGGGAAACCCUGAUCCAGCCAUUCCGCGUGUGCGAUGAAGGCCUUCGGGUUGUAAAGCACUUUUGGCAGGAAAGAAAUCGUGUGGGUUAAUACCCUGCGCGGAUGACGGUACCUGCAGAAUAAGCACCGGCUAACUACGUGCCAGCAGCCGCGGUAAUACGUAGGGUGCAAGCGUUAAUCGGAAUUACUGGGCGUAAAGCGUGCGCAGGCGGUUCGGAAAGAAGGAUGUGAAAUCCCAGGGCUUAACCUUGGAACUGCAUUCUUAACUACCGGGCUAGAGUGUGUCAGAGGGAGGUGGAAUUCCGCGUGUAGCAGUGAAAUGCGUAGAUAUGCGGAGGAACACCGAUGGCGAAGGCAGCCUCCUGGGACAACACUGACGCUCAUGCACGAAAGCGUGGGGAGCAAACAGGAUUAGAUACCCUGGUAGUCCACGCCCUAAACGAUGUCAACUAGCUGUUGGGGCCUUCGGGCUUUAGUAGCGCAGCUAACGCGUGAAGU